This 497-nucleotide ribosomal RNA is filed under the name uncultured bacterium. Its description in RNAcentral is "partial 16S ribosomal RNA". It matches the Rfam family "Bacterial small subunit ribosomal RNA", at positions 28 to 507 of the family's 1533-position model. The record is from RNAcentral.
GACGAACGCUGGCGGCGUGCCUAAUACAUGCAAGUUGAGCGAUGAAGAUUGGUGCUUGCACCAAUUUGAAGAGCAGCGAACGGGUGAGUAACGCGUGGGGAAUCUGCCUUUGAGCGGGGGACAACAUUUGGAAACGAAUGCUAAUACUGCAUAACAACUUUAAACAUAAGUUUUAAGUUUGAAAGAUGCAAUUGCAUCACUCAAAGAUGAUCCCGCGUUGUAUUAGCUAGUUGGUGAGGUAAAGGCUCACCAAGGCGAUGAUACAUAGCCGACCUGAGAGGGUGAUCGGCCACAUUGGGACUGAGACACGGCCCAAACUCCUACGGGAGGCAGCAGUAGGGAAUCUUCGGCAAUGGACGAAAGUCUGACCGAGCAACGCCGCGUGAGUGAAGAAGGGUUUCGGAUCGGAAAACUCUGUUGGUAGAGAAGAACGUUGGUGAGAGUGGAAAGCUCAUCAAGUGACGGUAACUACCCAGAAAGGGACGGCUAACUACGUG